AUCCUCUGAUUCCCUUUCACAGGGGAUCUGAACCCUAGUCUGGGUGGUCCUAAAAGGAGGAAAAGUAACACUGAAGCUGAUCUCACAGUGCUUUGUGGCAAGUGGGUUAGUUUCAAACAGGU
Molecule: small nucleolar RNA, 122 nt
Organism: Choloepus hoffmanni (Hoffmann's two-fingered sloth)
Lineage: Eukaryota; Metazoa; Chordata; Mammalia; Pilosa; Megalonychidae
Gene: SNORA61
Product: small nucleolar RNA, H/ACA box 61
Source: Ensembl